This 244-nucleotide long non-coding RNA is filed under the name Vigna radiata. Its description in RNAcentral is "long non-coding RNA (VRAD_LNC010768)". The record is from RNAcentral. Lineage: Eukaryota; Viridiplantae; Streptophyta; Magnoliopsida; Fabales; Fabaceae.
AGAAAACUAAAAAUGAAAAACAUUGAAUAAGAAAAUUAAAAAAAAUAGAAACCGUGAACCACAUGUUUGAAACCAAAUGAACGUGAGCUUUCUUCCAACCAAGUCAAAAGAAAUGCUAAUUAAAAAAAAAAAAACAUCAACGUAACAUCACUUACCACAUCUCACCUAACAAUAUCUAUUCAACUCUUCAUUUUUCAAUAAAAGAAAAGAAAAAAAAAAAAACUACACCUACAACUACCCAACG